AGUGAACGCUGGCGGUAGGCCUAACACAUGCAAGUCGAACGGCAGCACAGUAAGAGCUUGCUCUUACGGGUGGCGAGUGGCGGACGGGUGAGGAAUACAUCGGAAUCUACUUUUUCGUGGGGGAUAACGUAGGGAAACUUACGCUAAUACCGCAUAUGACCUACGGGUGAAAGCAGGGGAUCUUCGGACCUUUCGCGAUUGAAUGAGCCGAUGUCGGAUUAGCUAGUUGGCGGGGUAAAGGCCCACCAAGGCGACGAUCCGUAGCUGGUCUGAGAGGAUGAUCAGCCACACUGGAACUGAGACACGGUCCAGACUCCUACGGGAGGCAGCAGUGGGGAAUAUUGGACAAUGGGCGCAAGCCUGAUCCAGCCAUACCGCGUGGGUGAAGAAGGCCUUCGGGUUGUAAAGCCCUUUUGUUGGGAAAGAAAAGCAGCAGGUUAAUACCCCGCUGUUCUGACGGUACCCAAUGAAUAAGCACCGGCUAACUUCGUG
Molecule: ribosomal RNA, 492 nt
Filed under: uncultured bacterium
Lineage: Bacteria
Description: partial 16S ribosomal RNA
Rfam family: Bacterial small subunit ribosomal RNA
Source: RNAcentral